CAAAAAUCGUCAAAUUUGAAAGAUACCCAGAAAUCUAAAAUUCAAAAUUUAGGACAAAAAUUCAUAUCCCAGAAUUAAAGAAUUGCAAAACACAACAUAAGAAUUUCAUUCCUAAAAUACUUUAUUGAAUUUUAAUAGUUUAUAUGAAGUUGGCUCUGAUUCCACUGGGACUAUAGGGUAAGGAUCAUUGGUUUACUAUCAAAAGAAAAAAAAAAAAAAAAGGCCAUAAUUCUAAAUAUGCUCUUUUUCCAGAGAAAUCAAAGAAGAAAAUUCCAUCCCUCCAAAUAUAGAUCUUGGGUAGGCUUGUUGACUGCCGAUGUUUGUGAUUCCUAGAAUACUUUCUCGAAUUUUACUAGUUUAUAAGGAGUUGACUCUUAUACCAAUUGUUAGAAUUUUUAUGGAAGUCUAAAUCUCAAAACUUGAUAACCUAAUUACUUUAUUGCCAAAAUCCUCCAUAUCAAAUUACCAAGAAAAGUUAUUAAAUGUGGAACAUACAUUAAUUUAUUGGGAAUGAUUCUUUAAUAUUGAAUCUUGAUUUCGAAUCUUGAAUCUUGAAUAUUGACUCUUUUAUUUUGAGUUCUUGAUCUUAAUUUUGGCCUCUUGCUUUAUAAUCUUGAUUUUUGAAUUUCUUUAUCUUGAUUCUUGAUUGUAGAGUGCCUAUUCUUGAUUGUGUUUGGAUUUUCAAUAUGCUUUCUCUUGUAUUCAUAUGUUGAUGGGAUGACACAAUUAUAGUUUCCAUAUGUAUUUCGCCCAUCAUUAAAUACAAUGCUAAAGGAAUCUAGUCUCCACACAUAUAAUCCUACCCGCACUUUAU
RNAcentral lists this long non-coding RNA (814 nucleotides) under Olea europaea subsp. europaea. The record is from RNAcentral. Lineage: Eukaryota; Viridiplantae; Streptophyta; Magnoliopsida; Lamiales; Oleaceae.